This is a non-coding RNA of Nicotiana tabacum (common tobacco), 106 nucleotides long. Lineage: Eukaryota; Viridiplantae; Streptophyta; Magnoliopsida; Solanales; Solanaceae. The record is from RefSeq and is a predicted model, not a curated record.
CAGUUAUGCCGCCACCUCACUAUGGUAGACAUGGUGGAAAUCAAGGUUAUGGAGGUUCUUAUCGACACGGUAGAGACUAUCAUCGCAAGCGACACAGGGAAGAUGA